This 497-nucleotide ribosomal RNA is filed under the name uncultured bacterium. Its description in RNAcentral is "partial 16S ribosomal RNA". It matches the Rfam family "Bacterial small subunit ribosomal RNA", at positions 28 to 507 of the family's 1533-position model. The record is from RNAcentral.
GAUGAACGCUGGCGGCGUGCCUAAUACAUGCAAGUCGAGCGAACAGACGAGGAGCUUGCUCCUCUGACGUUAGCGGCGGACGGGUGAGUAACACGUGGAUAACCUACCUAUAAGACUGGGAUAACUUCGGGAAACCGGAGCUAAUACCGGAUAAUAUAUUGAACCGCAUGGUUCAAUAGUGAAAGACGGUUUUGCUGUCACUUAUAGAUGGAUCCGCGCCGCAUUAGCUAGUUGGUAAGGUAACGGCUUACCAAGGCGACGAUGCGUAGCCGACCUGAGAGGGUGAUCGGCCACACUGGAACUGAGACACGGUCCAGACUCCUACGGGAGGCAGCAGUAGGGAAUCUUCCGCAAUGGGCGAAAGCUUGACGGAGCAACGCCGCGUGAGUGAUGAAGGUCUUCGGAUCGAAAAACUCUGUUAUUAGGGAAGAACAAAUGUGUAAGUAACUAUGCACGUCUUGACGGUACCUAAUCAGAAAGCCACGGCUAACUACGUG